CGCUAGCGACAGGCCUAACACAUGCAAGUCGAGGGGCAGCACAAGGAGCAAUCUGAGGUGGCGACCGGCGCACGGGUGAGUAACACGUAUGCAACCUGCCUGUAAGCGGGGAAUAACCCGUUGAAAGACGGACUAAUACCGCAUAAUACUAAAUUACUGCAUGGUAAUUUAUUUAAACAUUUAUGGCUUACAGAUGGGCAUGCGCAUGAUUAGCUAGUUGGAGAGGUAACGGCUCCCCAAGGCAACGAUCAUUAGGGGUUCUGAGAGGAAGGUCCCCCCACACUGGUACUGAGACACGGACCAGACUCCUACGGGAGGCAGCAGUGAGGAAUAUUGGUCAAUGGACGAGAGUCUGAACCAGCCAAGUCGCGUGCAGGAAGAAUUGUCCUAUGGAUUGUAAACUGCUUUUGCAGGGGAAUAAAGUGCAUCACGUGUGAUGUUUUGUAUGUACUCUGCGAAUAAGGAUCGGCUAACUCCGUGCCAGCCGCCGC
Molecule: ribosomal RNA, 491 nt
Filed under: uncultured bacterium
Lineage: Bacteria
Description: bacterial SSU rRNA
Rfam family: Bacterial small subunit ribosomal RNA
Source: RNAcentral